CGGAACCUUUGUCUGUCAGUGCACAAUUUCCUGGUACACCGAAUACACUGAUGCACGCGUCAGAGCUUGGCUAACCACAUCUCUAUGAAGGACUGUUGGGAGGCAAAUUUAAUUAAAAAAAAGUACCUAAUGGAAGCAGGGUUUUGUGCAGGUUAUGCGAAAAGGAGUUUGCAUACCAUGGGCGCAUUUCAACGCUCUGGUAUGAUCUAAAUGCGAAGCAUGUCGGAGCAAGCACAGAAAUAGCUGGAGCUGUUAGCGUUAGCACUCACGGUACAAGUUCUAAGAGUUGUCAGCAAACCAAACUUGAGCAAGUGACCGGAUUCAGGACCAAAACUAGUAAGUCAACAUUGGAGAAAUUAUAAAUUCACUCGGACAGUGGAUUGCGCUGGACUGUAGACUACUAUUAAUAAUAAAAGACAAAGGAUUAGAAAAUGUGCUAAAUAGAGCGACAUGUGAUCCAAGUUUUCAACUAAAAUGCAGAAAUUUCAGCCAAAAUUCAACAACGUUAUGACACAGAAAAACAAGGAAAAUUGGAUGCAUUGCAGAAAGCUCAGUAUGUGGCUCUGACCGGAGAUCAUUGGACCUCCGUUAGUAAUGCAAAUAAAGUCGGCGUCACUGCACACAUUGCUGAUGUCACAGACGGGACAUGGCAUCUAUAGUCUUUUGCCCUGGCUGCGCACAAGACAAUCACCAGACACUAUGCUAAAUACUGUGCAGAGCAUUUUCUCUCUGUGGCAGGGAAAUGGGGAGUUCUACAAAAUGUAACCACAAUUGGAUCGGACAUCUCUCAUUUCAACACAUUACUUGUAUUGCUCACAUCUUGCAAAGAGCCAUCACUGUUAGCCUUGCUGACAGUGGGUUUAGUGAUGCAUUCGCAAAAUGUCGCAAGAUAGUGGGUCACUUUAAACACACCCCUGCUAAUACAGAGGAACUACACCAGGAGCAAUCAAGACUGUGGCAAAAAAUUAGCCACUCAUGCAAGAUGGAGCCACCAGUUGGACUUCAACACUGGGAAUGAUCUCUCGUCUACUGAAGAAUCAAAAGACUGUUUUUGCUGCUUUAGACAAACAGAAGCAGCAGAUUUUUGACUGAACUCCUUGGAGGUAAUACACAAGUCUCAUGUUCAGUGGUUUCACCUGCUCUCCGUCACCUGUACUGCAUCAUGGAGGUCUCAGAUGACGACUCAACCUACAUUGUGAAAUUCAAGACAACCUUCACAAGCUUCACUCAACCAUGAAUGGCUCAGGAUGGCCACUGUGUUUGACUGUGCUUGCUUUAAGGAUUUAAAAUGUCUUGCAAAUGGAGAGCGAACAGAUGUUUAGACCAGCUUUGAGGCCCUACUGCAGGAACAGUGUAAGGAUAUCACCACACAGGAGCCAGCAAAGAAAAAGAGCUUCUUUCUUUCUCCAAUUUCUUCAGAUUCUGAUCCAAAUGAGGAAGCCCUGUGUAGCAGGGCCCAGAAUUUGUACAGAGCAGAAUCCACCAUCAGCUAAACAGACUGCCCACUCCAGUGGUGGUUCAGUCAAGCAGGGACUCAUCCACAUCUGCCUGUCUUGGUCCGCAAGUAUCUGAUAAGCCCUGCCACUUCUGUUCCAUGUGAGAGGCUGAUCUCACUUGCAGGUCACAACUUUACAAAAAAGUGAGCUGCCUUGAGCUCUGGUAAUGUGAAAAGGCUAGUUUGUCUUAGCAACUGAGAGGGAGAGGAAGUAGUCAUGGAGGUAUUGUGAGGCCAAUGGGUUUGCUAUUUUUUGCACUAAAAUGUACAAAAAAAUAUUUGCUCAGGUUACUUGGAGUUUUAGGCCUUUCGAAUUACCAUUUAAAUUUGUAGUUGUUUUUCCAUAAAAAGAAAGAUGUGCACUUCUGUUGAAUUGUUUUUUUUAACCAUUUAAAGGCAAUACAGUUCUGAAAAAUGUGUCCUAAAAUGGCAUUUAAAUCCUGAAAUGGAACUUUAAGUUGAGGUCUACUGAAUUUUGACCAGGGAAUGUUUGUUUUAUUUCAUUUGUUUUUGUACUGUUUUUGUUUCUUCUGUUUUGCAUUGAAAUACAAUUAAAUGCAUCUUUCCAGUUAACAGUAUUCACGUCUGUGUCUGUUUUUGGAUUCGGUCAUGGACUAAAAUCCAUUGAUAUAAAUUGUUUUAAUAAAUGCAUUUUGGGACAUAUUUUUAUAUGCGUAUGAUUAAAAUGCUGGAGUUUUCAUGUUCUCCACAUGUACUGGGAACUCAGGUUUCCUCCCACAUUCCAAAAACAUGUUUGUUUAUGUGUGCCCUGCAAUUGGCUGGCAACCAGUUCAGGGUGUAACCCGCCUCCUGCCCGAUGAUAGCUGGGAUAGGCUCCAGCACUCCUGCGACCCGCGUGAGAAUAAGCAGCUCAGAAAAUGGAUGGAUGGAUAUGUAAUAUAGUCAUUUAAAGAAGCUGUAAUAAAAUAUCGUCUUAGUCUUAGACUUUACACCGAUCUGAUCGGCUUGAUCGGUAUCGGCCGAUAAUUAGUAUUUUGUGCUGAUUGGCUUUAAUGUCACAAUUCGCCGAUCCGAUCAAUUACGUCAUUGAUCGGCUCCGCAAAAGAUAUUUACUCCACGUUGCCAUCGUGUACAGUAUAUUUGAAUCCAAAAGCUAGUUUAUUUUUAGCCUUGUCGCGUGUCUUUUGACGUAGUACUGUAAAUAUCUGACCGCCAAUAAAGUUUUGUUUUUUUAAAAAGCAGGCAACAAAACGUUCCGUAGCCUAGCAAGCUAGUGCUAGCACUAACGGUUGUACGUAAACGUGCCAGCGUUCUGUCGAAUCAUACUCUAAAGUUUCGGUCUGUGCGAAGUAAUUUAAUUACAAUAAAGUAAUUUAAUUAAACCAAGUUAGCACCCAUUAUUUCUGUCAUGUUGUAAUGUUGGUUUGACCUGACUGAAACUGUCAGUGGCCAAUCCUAGAGCUCAUUAAUGUUUUACCUUUUGUCUAAAAUGCUAGAGAAUACUUUUGAAGAUACUCCUUAUACAGUACACAAGUAUAUACAGUAAAUGAACACGUCAUUUAAAUAGACACAUAGCUCCAUCUUGUGAUCGGAUCGGUGAUCGGUUACCGUUUUUUAAACUCGCUGAUCGGCCCCAAAAAUCCUGAUCGUGUAAAGCCCAAUUUACUCCAGGUGUCUUAACCUUCAUUUUAUGCCAAGGACUUUCGAUACACCAUUUUGACAGAGUUGUGUUUUAAUUAAAGACAUUCAAAGGAGAUUUACAAAAUGUUAUAGAAGUGAGUCUUCCUGCCAUGGUCUUGUUUGCACGUUUUGACACCAUUUACAUUCACAUCGCAUUAUAAAUUGAAUUACUGUAUAUGGCAUUAAAGGAAGUUGUCAUUUUACUUGCAUUCAUCACAAACUGUCUGUUUGUAAAUGUGAGUAAUAAAAGCUUUAGUUUUGCAGAAACUGA
Molecule: long non-coding RNA, 3407 nt
Organism: Phyllopteryx taeniolatus (common seadragon)
Lineage: Eukaryota; Metazoa; Chordata; Actinopteri; Syngnathiformes; Syngnathidae
Exons: 2
Source: RefSeq, a predicted model, not a curated record